GCUAGCCCACUGUGGAACGGGGAAAGGUCACCAAAGAAACAACAUAGACAGCUUCGGCAUCAAAAGUUCGUCGGAGGAGAGGUGCAGCAUUUAUACUAGCACCCGCGUGCGCCAUCUUUGUUCCUAUUUAAAAGUGGAAUGAGAAGAGAGCGAGAGGGAGAAGUCCCAGUUGAUUGAUCCCUUGGGUCAGCCCGACCCUUUCUUUGAUGGAAGGUAAAGGUCAAUUUUUUAUUAUAGAGCCGUAUGCAAUGCACAAAAAUGCCCGUACGGUUGUUCAAUUCUAUCUUUUUUCUUGUUAUUCUUUAUCUUUCUUUCUUUUCUCUUCAUCAUUUAGGAGAGCCUACGGAUCUCUUUAAAGUAAAGUACAAUAUCGACUUGAAUGAAACUAUAGCACAGAGGAAUGCUAGCGAGCGCUCAUAUGCAAGAACAGGAGCUCGGACUCUUGUUGUAGUUCGAGCCUUAGAAGGAAGCAAGCGAAGGGAUAGGAAAGCAAGGCAUCCUAUAAGCACAGAGGUAAUAGGCAGGCAGUUAAUCGAUUUCAGUAUUCAAGAGAUCUCCUGCCCUUUCAUACUCGUAGACUUCUGU
This 585-nucleotide long non-coding RNA is filed under the name Panax ginseng (ginseng). RNAcentral describes it as "long non-coding RNA (PGIN_LNC011703)". Lineage: Eukaryota; Viridiplantae; Streptophyta; Magnoliopsida; Apiales; Araliaceae. The record is from RNAcentral.